GAAAUUUCUAAGAAAAACAAUGAAAUAAUUUUAAAAGAGUUAAAUUUUUAUUUAAAUUUAAUUUAUUAUAUAUUUAAAAUAUAAAAAAAAAAUUCACAAAUCAUAUAUUUUAUAUUCUACAUCCAUAAAUUCAUUAUACAUGGAUUAAGAAAAGAAAACACUAUUCCUCACAUUUUCCACAAAUUCUCUUUUCACCCCCAACGGCACCAUUCAAUCUUUGCUUAUAUAUAUCAGUCUCUCCUUUGCUCUCUCUAUAUAUAGCCAUUUCAGUUUCAGCUGCUCUUCUCCCCUCCUUUAAACAUUUCUUCCUAAUUAAUUACUUUCCUAUUUCUUUCUCUUUCUUAUCACAGAUUUUCUCUCUUAUGGCUCACACCAAAUCCCAUGCCUUUCUUUUAUCUGGGAAGAAGAGACCCAACCAAGAUGAAUUUGACGGGGACGAUCUUUUUCUUUCCAAGAAAUCCUCGCUUUUGUCUCCUGCUGUACCCUACGGUGACGAUCCCGUCGCUGCAUUAGCUGCCGCACGCCAUGAGUUCGGUGAACAUGGAGGCGUUAACAUGUCUAUCGAGGCCUCCGCCACCUUCACCGUCAUGGAGCCCGACACUAUGCGCCGCAUGUUCUCCGGCGAGCUGGGCCCUGAUCGGGACUUCUUCAUCUACAGUCGCCACUUCAACCCCACCGUCUUGAAUCUUGGCCGCCAGAUGGCCGCCCUGGAAGGAACCGAGGCCGCCUAUUGCACUGCUAGCGGUAUGUCUGCGAUAUCCUCGGUGUUAUUGCAACUUUGCAGCAGUGGAGGACACGUGGUGGCUUCGAGGGCUCUGUAUGGUGGGACUCACGCCCUGUUGAGCCAUUUCUUACCGAGGGCGUGCAACAUAACGACGACGUUUGUUGAAAUUGGAGAUGUAGAAAUGGUGAAAAAUGCCAUAGUUGAAGGCAAAACCAAGGUGUUUUACUUCGAGUCCAUGUCGAAUCCUACUCUCACCGUAGCUAAUAUCCCUGAACUCAGCAGAAUUGCCCAUGAGAAAGGUGUGAUGGUGGUUGUGGACAACACUUUUGCCCCAGUGGUCCUGUCUCCGGCACGUCUAGGGGCUGACGUGGUUGUGCAUAGUAUUUCCAAGUUCAUCAGCGGCGGAGCUGAUAUCAUUGCAGGUAAAUAUGUUAAUUUUAUAAAUUGAAUUGAUUCCUUAAUUUUUGGAUAACACGAGGUAAGAUUACAUUAUUAAUUAACAUAAUUAGUGGAACCUAAGGACAUUGAUUUCAGUAAUAAUAUAAUAAAGACAAGGAUAAGAAUGUUAAAGAUAGGCACGGCCGCACGGGAUAUUUUUUGGGUUCGUCUUAGAUGCAGACGGAGACGGGUGAAAGGGAUGGAUAUGUGAGGGAACCUUUUCCUUUUACUUUGUCUAGUGAAUGAUGGUGUCUUGCUUUUGAGAGCAUGAUGCUUGCUAAUUACUAUUAUUUUAAGAUCAUUUUCGCGUGGUUACCUUUAAUCGUGUUUGGUACUGGUAGCAUGCUCUCAUCGUGCUCAUGUACUUUUAGGAUCUUCCAUGUGAUUCUGAGUUUGAUGUUUCCUGUUGUUUUUUCCUCGGUGCUAACUGUGACGUGGCCCGGUUUCUGCUCCUUGGUGUCCCAUCUCUUUUGUAAGUAUGCUCGGAAAUAUGAUUUAUUAAUUAAUAUGGAAUCGGCAGGUGCUGUUUGUGGGCCGGCCAGCCUUGUGAACUCAAUGAUGGACCUUCAUCAAGGGACUUUGAUGCUUCUUGGGCCUACAAUGAACGCCAAGGUGGCCUUUGAGUUGUCAGGGAGGAUUCCUCAUUUGGGCCUCAGAAUGAAGGAACAUUGCCACCGAGCGAUGGAGUUUGCAACAAGAAUGAAGAAACUAGGCCUCAAAGUCAACUACCCAGGCCUUGAAGACCACCCACAACAUGAGCUCCUCAAGUCCAUGGCUAAUAAGGACUAUGGAUAUGGUGCACUUCUCUGCCUUGACAUGGAGACUGAGGAAAGGGCUAACAGAUUGAUGCAGCACUUGCAGAACUUCACCCAAUUUGGGUUAAUGGCUGUGAGCUUGGGCUACUAUGAGACCUUAAUGUCAGUCUCUGGUAGUAGCACUAGUAGUGAAAUGAGUGCGGAGGAAAAGAAAUUAGCUGGAAUCUCACCUGGGCUAAUCAGGAUGUCUGUUGGGUACAUAGGCACUUUGGAGCAGAAAUGGAGCCAAUUCGAGAAGGCGCUUUUGAGAAUGCAGGACUCAGGCUUCACGUACAAGAAUUCAGUUUCUGCUGUUACCAAAUAGAAGCAAACAUAUAGCCUUUAAAAAUAAAACGCUUCUCCAUGGCUUCCGCGGCCCCUGCAUUCUGCAAUAAUAAAUAAUGGAGCCUCGUAAAUAUGCGUGUACAAAAUCAAACUUGUUGAGUUUUUAAGGAGCUUAGAAACCUCCCUGAGCAAAUCUAUGUUGCAUGCACGUUCAACGCCUGCAUUUGAAAUUCAUUUGUGUGUGUCUGUAUGUAUAUAUAUUUAUGCAUCAGCUAAGGCACUAGACAAUGCUUUCAUUUGCUUUUCAGGUUCAGCACAAAAAAAUUCCUUCUACACAAAUCAACAUAUUAUUAUUGGCUAAAAUCCCCUGUAAGCUUAAAAAAAUGAAAAACUUGAAAAAGUCCAGUUUGAAGACAUAACCGUCAGGGAAUUGAACAACGAUUGCCGGGUAAUUAUUUAAUUUUAAGCAGAAAAUAGCGAUUUGAUGAAGCCAUGAUAGAAAAAUUCUGGAGUCCUAAGCUUUUACAGAGUGGCACCAAGUUGAAGUUCAUCCACAGCUAAGAGACAUGAUCAUUAAAUACGAAGACUACAUAUAGCUUGCCGCGUUCAGCAAUCAGCAUAAAUUGGGAAGAAUUUGGGUUAAUUUAUGAAUCUAUCAUAUUAUUGGAGCAAUUGGCUAAAAGUAUCUCCGAGGACCAGAAGAACACAUUCAAAAACCUUGUCUGAAGAGUCUUGGAUUAAUCUUCAUGGCUGUUGGUUUAUAGCCCUUUUGCAUCAUGCUUCGCUUUUAAUUUGGUUUGUUAGGGGGAUUGAUAGAGUCUGAUCAAAGGAGUUUGGUUGUUUAAGAAAAAGCGGCUCUGUUUUCUUUUUGGAAAUUUAUGUGCCUAUGCUCCUCUCUCGGCAUCCAGGAACUUAAGGGGAGUGAGUAUCUUUGUCUGGUUCCCAUUGAUGUAGCAGUUAGGAUAAGUUUAAGAGCUGGAAUGUGUCAGUUCGAUUGCUGUUAAAUUAUUUGAAUUGGCGUAUCUUGUUGUCUUUAUUCAGAUUUGUUAGGACUCCUGAAAUCCUCGAGUGGCUGCCUGCUUUUCAUAAUCUGCUGCUUCUUUGUUGAGCAAGUUGGACGUCUGACCAUUUGCUGUGAUAUUCUUGAUUUUAUUGUCUGUGUAGUCGGGAAGAAGAUUCAGGUCCUUGCUUGGAAUUUCAUUUCUCUAAAACAUUCUGUUGUCCGACUUUUAGAGAGUGUCAGAUGGAAAUUUCCAGAUUCAAG
This 3505-nucleotide unclassified non-coding RNA is filed under the name Hevea brasiliensis (rubber tree). The record is from RNAcentral. Lineage: Eukaryota; Viridiplantae; Streptophyta; Magnoliopsida; Malpighiales; Euphorbiaceae.